CUCCUCUGCUUCGGCGGGCGAUGCACGCGUCGCGCGAGUCCACGCGUCGGCCAUCCUCGUUCCCCGUGCCGCGUGUCAAGCGUCGCCGCCGACGAACCUCGUUCCUCGCAUCCUUAUCCGCGCCGAGUCCACUCACUCGCCCUCUCCGUCUCCAUUUCGACCGGCCCCAAACCCUAGCUCCCGUCCCCCUCCACCUUUGACGUCGGCCCGAGCUCCUUGCCGCCGCCGAUUCCCCGCCCUUAGUGGGCCUCCCUCCAAUUCCUCGCGCAGGGAGCAUCUCCUCCCUCUCCUCGACCCGUUCCCCUCCUCAUCCGGCCUUUUCAUUCGCCGUGCAGGGCCGCCGGCGAGCUCCUUCGCCCGCCACCGCUCGUCGCCGUCGCGCCGCCCCCUCGUCGCCGUUCCCUGCCCGCGCCACCGCUGUGACCGAACCGUCGGAGGUCGAACCCGUGGAGCCCACCGAGUCCGUUGAGCCCGAGCCGGGAGUCCAGUUCGUGGUCGAGCCUGAAGCUAAUCAAGGUGAGCCGGAAGUGGUGUUCGGCCACUUCUACCCCGCUGAUCCAAAUGUGGGGGAAGAGUAGGUCGUUGCGGCUAUGGUGAUGUCCUUGAGCAAGGCAUCAUCAUCGUAGUAUGUUUUUAUCGUAAUCGAACUCCGUGAGAACAUGUAAAUAUAAUAAUCUUUAAGUUUCUUUAUAAUAUGGCUUCCGUGAGCCCAAGGCUUGUAAUGGAGAUUAGUUUGAACCUUCCUAUAUUGAACUUGUAAUAUUAAGUUGUGAACUCUGGUAAUGUAAAA
Molecule: long non-coding RNA, 790 nt
Organism: Panicum virgatum (switchgrass)
Lineage: Eukaryota; Viridiplantae; Streptophyta; Magnoliopsida; Poales; Poaceae
Exons: 3
Source: RefSeq, a predicted model, not a curated record